UCCCUGCUAGCUCAGUGGUAGAGCGCUUCACUAGUAUGUCUUAACGUGAGAAAUCGUCUAUGAAGAGGUCAGUCGUUCAAGUCGGCUGUGGGGAA
Molecule: non-coding RNA, 95 nt
Organism: Schizophyllum amplum
Lineage: Eukaryota; Fungi; Basidiomycota; Agaricomycetes; Agaricales; Schizophyllaceae
Source: the annotation of a GenBank genome assembly